UUUUUUUUUCGUACUUUUUUUUUUCCCACUCCCGCCCCCCCCCCCCUUCUUUUGCGGGGGAGGAGGCCAGGCCGCAGAGCCCGCCCCCACCACGGCGCAGCCCUGCCCCCGGUCCGGGGGGAAGAAGGAGGAAGAAAAACAGAGCCCCGGCGGGGUGGGGGGGGGGGGGGGAGGGGGCGGCGAACGCCCUGCGGUGCGAAGGCUGAGCGAGGCCCCAGCCCCUCACCUGCUCUGUCCGGUACUGAGGCUCAGCACGGCGGGCAUAAUGGUGCUUUUAUUCCCCUCCUUCUCUCUAGCGAAGCAGUGACUGUUGAGUAUCCGCUGCAGGGAGGAUUUCACCAUCCGGCCGCUCUGGUCCGAACCCCGAAACCCUCCGCUGCCUCCCGCCGGCCGCUCUCCAGGCGCUGCUACACAAAAUGGCCCCCCAGCCGCGGUGGGUCCUUAUAUACCCUCUGUACGGCCACGCCCCCAUAUGGUACCGCCCCCCGGAUCAGGCCACGCCCCCAACCGGAGAGAGCUCCCGUGCGGGAACAGCCCAACUGUCACUCAGAAAACCUUGUUUCCCAUUGGCUGAAGGGAGUGCGAGGGCGGGACAUCGAGCUCUACCGCUAUUGGCCGGCAGCGCGAGGAGUUCAGCGCUGGUUGGAAAGGCGACGAGACUGGGAAUCACGGAGAGCUCCGAUUGGCUGGGCCUCCGCGGGUGGGCGGGAUCUGGCGGGGCGGGGUGGGCUGGGCUGGGCGGCUUCGGCCCCGUGCCGCAGCCCUCGCCGAUCUCAGGGCCGCCGGUUCGAGUCCCGCGUCCGGCGCCUCCGCCUUGCUGAGGCACCACAUCCAACUUCUCCUUGAACACCCCCAGGGACGGGGACUCCACCACCUCCCUGGGCAACUCGUCCAAUGCCUGACUGCUCUUUCUGAGAAGAAAUGCCUCCUAAUUUCCAACCUCAGCCUCCCCUGAUGCAACCUGAGGCCAUUCUCUGUAGUCCUACAAGCUGGAUGCUGAGAGAAACGUUAAAUCAAAAAAUAUUAACCAGUCACCAAAGUACAGGGCAGGGAGUCCCAGUGUGACCUCUUUUUGGUGCACCUGUCCUUGGUGGAUGCUAGAAUCACAACAUCGCGUUUGCCUUCAGUUUAUGUUUUAUUCUGGCCACUGUGCGGUGUAAAAUUUUAAAGUUGUCUGGGUAGUGACUCUUAGCAACCUGAACAGAAAAAACUCUCAUGCUUCAAUGAGGAAGCAAAUAAAGGCUGGUUAUUUACACAGCAGACGCUAACCUGCUGCCCGAGCCCCAUGAUGAACAAUCUGUAACGCUCCCCUGAUAACUCGCACAGCGCUUCUGAUCUCCUGCAAGAGCUUUGGGAACCCGAGGCUUCGAGGCACAGCUGGGUCUUUGCACCCCACCGCAAGAGCAAGGUCUGGAGGAAAGGCUGAGUGUUUCAGACAACCCAGAUCUCUUCUGGACAAUACAGGUGUAAAUGCCUUCUUAAACUGAAAAGAAAGCAGCAGUCAAAUAUGUACGAAAAGUAAAUACAUGAGAAUUCCCUGGUCCAAUCUUUGACUCAGUCAGUUCUGAACAUUUCAGCCUAUUGCUUAUGAGGUGAUACCAUCCCCUUUCUAAAAGCCAAGUCAGAAGCACAUCGUGCAAGUCAGGGCACAUCCUAAGUGGUGGAUGUUACUGUCCUACAUGGAAAGAAAGCUAAAAUAAAGGUUUACAUGAUGCUGAAUUGAAUUUGUGGGCAGGUAUGCCUUGUAAAUGAAGUGGAAAAAAAGAUUUUUAUAGAGCCAAAGAAGAAUACUGAAGAUACAUUGUAAUGUUUUUAAAAAAAUAAAAUCAUGGUUUUGUAUAAGAAUGUAGAUGUCUGUAUUCUUUUUUUUUUGUUCAACCCAGACUACAACAAGCCUGUUUAUUGCCUUCAGGUAUUGUAGCUGCAUCUGAAUAUACAUAUAUAAUAUUUUGAUUGUGUUGUUUAUAUUUAUUUCCUAUAAAUGUCCCCAUCCAGGAGCUCUGAGCACAUGGAUAAACCAUUGAUUGGUUCCACUUUGAACAAGAAUAAGUGUCUAAAUCCCCACCCUCCUUCUGUGUCCUGAAGCUGCUCUGAUUUACUGUGAUGGAACAAAGUGUAUUGCCAAACAAAAACAUUGUCUGUUUUCCUGCAGCUUAGAUGACAAGCCUAGCCUGGCCAGCAGCCAGUGACUAGUCUGAGAGUCGUGGUAAGUAAGAGUUACAAGAGAAAAAGCCUUUUCCUGCUGCAGGUGUCUGCACUUAGCUCCCAGAACACAAAAUAAAUGCGAUGUUGGUGCUUUCAUCAUACUCUCUACGUGUGGCUGUUGAUUUAUGGAUGGGAAGCUGAUUGCCAUUUAAUGCAUUACCCAGAGACCAACUUGAAACAAUAGGAUAGCUGCAACUCAGGAAUAUUUGGACCAAAUGAAGCACAUCAGAG
RNAcentral lists this long non-coding RNA (2436 nucleotides) under Cairina moschata (Muscovy duck). RNAcentral describes it as "domestica (muscovy Duck (domestic type)) lncRNA (ENSCMMG00000010675.1)". Lineage: Eukaryota; Metazoa; Chordata; Aves; Anseriformes; Anatidae. The record is from RNAcentral.